CCUACGGGAGACAGCAGUGGGGGAUAUUGCACAAUGGGGGAAACCCUGAUGCAGCGACGCCGCGUGAGUGAAGAAGGUUUUCGGUAUGGAAAACUACAUCAGCAGGGGAGGAACAAGACGGUACCUGGCGAGGAAGCCCCGGCUAACUACGUGCCAGCAGCCACGGUAAUACGUAGGGGGCAAGCGUUAUCCGGAUUUACUGGGUGUAAAGGGAGCGUAGGCGGGGAGGCAAGUUUGAUGUGAAAACCCAGGGCUUAACCCGGUGACCGCCUUGGAAACUGGAAGUCUUGAGUGAUGGAGAGGUAAGCGGAAUUCGUAGUGUAGCGGUGAAAUGCGUAGAUAUUAGGAGGAACACCAGUGGCGAAGGCGGCUUGCUGGACUUUAACUGACGCUGAGGCUCGAAAGCGUGGGGAGCAAACAGGAUUAGAUACCCCAGUAGUC
This 441-nucleotide ribosomal RNA is filed under the name uncultured bacterium. RNAcentral's name for it is "partial 16S ribosomal RNA". It matches the Rfam family "Bacterial small subunit ribosomal RNA", at positions 338 to 795 of the family's 1533-position model. The record is from RNAcentral.